RNAcentral lists this ribosomal RNA (204 nucleotides) under uncultured bacterium. Its description in RNAcentral is "partial 16S ribosomal RNA". It matches the Rfam family "Bacterial small subunit ribosomal RNA", at positions 1297 to 1500 of the family's 1533-position model. The record is from RNAcentral.
ACUGGAGUCUGCAACCCGACUCCACGAAGCUGGAUUCGCUAGUAAUCGCGCAUCAGCCACGGCGCGGUGAAUACGUUCCCGGGCCUUGUACACACCGCCCGUCACACCAUGGGAGCCGGUAAUACCCGAAGUCAGUAGUCCAACCUCGUGAGGACGCUGCCGAAGGUAGGAUUGGCGACUGGGGUGAAGUCGUAACAAGGUACC